This 882-nucleotide ribosomal RNA is filed under the name uncultured eukaryote. RNAcentral describes it as "SSU rRNA". It matches the Rfam family "Eukaryotic small subunit ribosomal RNA", at positions 567 to 1474 of the family's 1831-position model. The record is from RNAcentral.
CCAGCAGCCGCGGUAAUUCCAGCUCCAAUAGCGUAUAUUAAAGUUGUUGCGGUUAAAAAGCUCGUAGUUGGAUCUCGGCGAACAGGGGGCGGUUCGUUAUUUGACGGUACUGCCCCAUUUGUUCGUAUUUUUGCAAGAGGGUUGGGGGUCCCCUUCAUUGGGUGUCUCCGGUCGCUUGCAGGUUUACUUUGAAAAAAUUAGAGUGCUCAAAGCAGGCUUACACGCUUGAAUAUUCGUGCAUGGAAUAAUAGAAUAGGAAGUCGUUUCUAUUUUGUUGGUUUUCGGAAAAUGACUUAAUGAUUAAUAGGGACAAUCGGGGGCAUUAGUAUUCAAACGACAGAGGUGAAAUUCUUGGACCGUUUGAAGACUAACUACUGCGAAAGCAUUUGCCAAGAGUGUUUUCAUUAAUCAAGAACGAAAGUUAGAGGUUCGAAGGCGAUCAGAUACCGCCCUAGUUCUAACCAUAAACGAUGCCAGCUAGCGAUCUGCGGGUGUGUAAAAACAAGACCCCGCAGGGAGCUUCCGGGAAACCAAAGCUUGUGGGUUCCGGGGGAAGUAUGGUUGCAAAGCUGAAACUUAAAGGAAUUGACGGAAGGGCACCACCAGGAGUGGAGCCUGCGGCUUAAUUUGACUCAACACGGGAAAUCUCACCAGGCCCGGACACCGGAAGGAUUGACAGAUUGAGAGCUCUUUCUCGAUUCGGUGGGUGGUGGUGCAUGGCCGUUCUUAGUUGGUGGAGUGAUUUGUCUGGUUAAUUCCGAUAACGAACGAGACUCUGUCCUGCUAAAUAGUAAGCUGAUUACUUUGUCAGCUUGUCUUCUUAGAGGGACUGGCGGAUUUAAACCGCACGAGAUUGAGCAAUAACAGGUCUGUGAUGCCCAA